GGGGCUGACUGGAUUUGACAGCGGGAUGGAGUGGUACGUAAGCAUGCAGUGAGUCGCUGGCCCUCACUUUAAUCUCAGUCUGCGAACAAUUAAUUGGCGAAACUUCUUACGCUCUCGCUGCUUAAUCGAAGCAUAGUAGAUUGAAGCUUAAUCCCUUUGCCAGGCAGAAGGACGAGACAUCGCCCUGGAAGCUGUUGCUCCGAAGCGUCCAGACCGGCGGUGCAGGAAAAUCGGGGAUAGUCUUACUUUUGUCUCGGGGGUAGGAUGAAACUUUAGAGGCUAAGGCAACAGUGGAUGGCUUGGGUUCUGGCGGUUGCACGAAAAAUGUAGGCCAAGAUAAGCAUGUAGAAAGCGUAUGGCUUCCUCGUUUGGACGAGGGUUCAAUCCCCUCCAGCUCCAC
This 400-nucleotide transfer-messenger RNA is filed under the name bovine gut metagenome. It matches the Rfam family "transfer-messenger RNA". Rfam says of the family: Bacterial tmRNA, also known as 10Sa RNA or SsrA, is named for its dual tRNA and mRNA-like properties. The record is from RNAcentral.